CAGCCGCCGCGGGAAUACAGAGGGUGCGAGCGUUAAUCGGAUUUACUGGGCGUAAAGCGUGCGUAGGCGGCUAAUUGAGUCGGAUGUGAAAUCCCCGAGCUUAACUUGGGAAUUGCAUUCGAUACUGGUUAGCUAGAGUGUGGGAGAGGAUGGUAGAAUUCCAGGUGUAGCGGUGAAAUGCGUAGAGAUCUGGAGGAAUACCGAUGGCGAAGGCAGCCAUCUGGCCUAACACUGACGCUGAGGUACGAAAGCAUGGGGAGCAAACAGGAUUAGAUACCCGAGUAGUCCCUGUCUCUUAUAU
Molecule: ribosomal RNA, 301 nt
Filed under: uncultured bacterium
Lineage: Bacteria
Description: partial 16S ribosomal RNA
Rfam family: Bacterial small subunit ribosomal RNA
Source: RNAcentral